This 811-nucleotide ribosomal RNA is filed under the name Botryosphaeria sinensis. RNAcentral describes it as "partial 28S ribosomal RNA". It matches the Rfam family "Eukaryotic large subunit ribosomal RNA", at positions 78 to 907 of the family's 3401-position model. The record is from RNAcentral. Lineage: Eukaryota; Fungi; Ascomycota; Dothideomycetes; Botryosphaeriales; Botryosphaeriaceae.
CCUUAGUAACGGCGAGUGAAGCGGCAACAGCUCAAAUUUGAAAGCUGGCUCCUUUGGAGUCCGCGUUGUAAUUUGUAGAGGAUGAUUCGGCAAGGGCUCCCGCCUAAGUCUCCUGGAACGGAGCGUCAUAGAGGGUGAGAAUCCCGUAUGCGGUGGGCUGCCUAAGCCAUGUGAAUCUCCUUCGACGAGUCGAGUUGUUUGGGAAUGCAGCUCUAAAUGGGAGGUAAAUUUCUUCUAAAGCUAAAUACCGGCCAGAGACCGAUAGCGCACAAGUAGAGUGAUCGAAAGAUGAAAAGCACUUUGGAAAGAGAGUUAAAAAGUACGUGAAAUUGUUGAAAGGGAAGCGCUUGCAGCCAGACUUGUCCGCAGUUGCUCAGCCGGUCUCCUGACCGGUGUACUCUUCUGCGGCCAGGCCAGCAUCAGUUCGGGCGGUCGGAUAAAGACCUCGGGAAUGUAGCUCCUCUCGGGGAGUGUUAUAGCCCGGGGUGGAAUGCGGCCAGCCUGGACUGAGGAUCUCGCUUCGGCUAGGAUGCUGGCGUAAUGGCUGUAAGCGGCCCGUCUUGAAACACGGACCAAGGAGUCUAACAUCUAUGCGAGUGUUUGGGUGUCAAACCCAUGCGCGUAAUGAAAGUGAACGGAGGUGGGAACCCUCACGGGUGCACCAUCGACCGAUCCUGAUGUCUUCGGAUGGAUUUGAGUAAGAGCAUAGCUGUUGGGACCCGAAAGAUGGUGAACUAUGCCUGAAUAGGGUGAAGCCAGAGGAAACUCUGGUGGAGGCUCGCAGCGGUUCUGACGUGCAAAUCGAUCGUCA